Molecule: non-coding RNA, 114 nt
Organism: Acanthosepion pharaonis
Lineage: Eukaryota; Metazoa; Mollusca; Cephalopoda; Sepiida; Sepiidae
Source: the annotation of a GenBank genome assembly
UAUGGCCAUAUCAUGUUGAAAUGCUCGGUUCUUGUACAAUCACCGAAGUUAAGCAACAUUGAGCUUGGUCAGUACCGAGAUAGGUGACUGCCUGGGAAUACCAGGUGCUGUAAG